UAGUUACCUAAAUAGAAAGUUUAUAUAAUUGUAAUAUCGGAAUAUAUUAAAGGUGUAAUUUUGUCCGAUUAAUUAUAAUUUAUUAAUUAUGGAUUGAAAAUACAGAUAUUAGUUAGACAGAGAAACGAUGUUUAACAGGAAAACUAAAUGCAACGCUCGUAUUUA
Bombus impatiens (common eastern bumble bee) is the source of this 165-nucleotide long non-coding RNA. RefSeq lists it as uncharacterized. The transcript is spliced from 3 exons. The record is from RefSeq and is a predicted model, not a curated record. Lineage: Eukaryota; Metazoa; Arthropoda; Insecta; Hymenoptera; Apidae.